RNAcentral lists this ribosomal RNA (492 nucleotides) under uncultured bacterium. Its description in RNAcentral is "partial 16S ribosomal RNA". It matches the Rfam family "Bacterial small subunit ribosomal RNA", at positions 29 to 507 of the family's 1533-position model. The record is from RNAcentral.
AGUGAGCGCUGGCGGUAGGCCUAACACAUGCAAGUCGAACGGCAGCACAGUAAGAUCUUGCUCUUACGGGUGGCGAGUGGCGGACGGGUGAGGAAUACAUCGGAAUCUACUUUUUCGUGGGGGAUAACGUAGGGAAACUUACGCUAAUACCGCAUACGACCUACGGGUGAAAGCAGGGGAUCUUCGGACCUUGCGCGAUUGAAUGAGCCGAUGCCGGAUUAGCUAGUUGGCGUGGUAAAGGCCCACCAAGGCGACGAUCCGUAGCUGGUCUGAGAGGAUGAUCAGCCACACUGGAACUGAGACACGGUCCAGACUCCUACGGGAGGCAGCAGUGGGGAAUAUUGGACAAUGGGCGCAAGCCUGAUCCAGCCAUACCGCGUGGGUGAAGAAGGCCUUCGGGUUGUAAAGCCCUUUUGUUGGGAAAGAAAAACAGCAGGUUAAUACCCCGCUGUUCUGACGGUACCCAAAGAAUAAGCACCGGCUAACUUCGUG